This is a long non-coding RNA of Mytilus californianus (California mussel), 2574 nucleotides long. RefSeq lists it as uncharacterized. Lineage: Eukaryota; Metazoa; Mollusca; Bivalvia; Mytilida; Mytilidae. The transcript is spliced from 4 exons. The record is from RefSeq and is a predicted model, not a curated record.
UAGCAUUCAGUUUGUCCGUAAGGAUUGAGACUGGAAAUGGCAAUUGGAGCAGACUUUUAAGGAUGCCAUUACUGUGGCUGCAUGAAAUAAUUGUGUGAUCUUUUCUGUAAAAAGAAAAAAAAGCUAUUGAAAAAUGUUAAAUAUGUUUUAAGAAAACAAAUUGUAAAGAUUCUCCAUUUUCUACAAGAAUGGAAGUAUGAAUUUCUGGUGAUCUUAAAAUUUAAAUUUAGGAAAAUUUCUUUUUAUCUGUUGCAUAAAAUGGCUAGAUCUUUUUAUACUUACAAACCUCAGAGGGAAUAUUAACACUUCUAAUGGUUUAGAAUGGAGGAUCUAAAAAAAAAGAAAAAAAAAAAAAAACUUUUGUAAAAUAUUUUAAUUUAUUUUACAAGAAGCAUAGUUAAAGAACAUCUAGGGUGAAAAUGAAAGAGUACUAAAUUUUAUAUUGAAAUUUGUUGAUUUAAAAAAAAAAAUCAUAUUCUUGAUAGUUAAAAGUGCAGGCAUCUGAUAUUUUUGAAGAACUGUAUUUUGUAAAAAUAAAUGGAAAACAAAUACAUUGACAAGUGAUAAAAUAAACUGUUUUAAACAAAAAUAACAUGAGACUUUUAUGAACUAGUGUCUAAAAGUUUUGACAAAACUCAUAGAAUAGGGGGACAUUCAUUCACUUACAUUGAUACAAUGAUGGCAGCCAGGAUAGCAGCUAUUGGGAAGACGGUCAAUUAAAUCUUCAACCAAUUCUGAGGCUUUACCAGGAAAUAUUUGUGGUUGAUGUAAUGUAUUCAUGGUGUUGGAAGUAAAACUUGGGAGAUCUGAUACUGCUAACAUUUUGGUAAAAGUGUAACUGCUGCUGCUUUAGUGUGUGGUCAGUCCUGUGGACAAUAAUUAUGGGUCAAUCCUGUGGACGAUAAUAAUCAUGCAAACCAUAUGAUAAACUUUUGUUGUUUUGUUUUUACUAUAAUCCUUAAAUGAUAGUUCUGUAAGCCAAAAGAUUAAUAUAUUUUAAAUGCUGUUAUUUUAUUUUCCAGUUAUUUCUGUAAAUUCAAUUUAAUUUCCAAUUUCUGUAAAUUCACAAGUUUUUGCAAAAUUUCAUUUCUGUGAAAAUUGCCAGAGAAUAGGUUCUGCAAUAAUAAAAAGUUUAUAACUUACAUUUUAAAUUUUGAUAGCAUUGGCUAUAAUUAAAUUUAACAUUUGUUAUCCAAUGUUUAACCAUCUCAAAUAAAAAAUGCUUGUAAAAAAUUCUGAAUUGCAGAAUAGAUAUGUUUUUAUUAUUUUUUCUAAUGCAUUCUGGGUAACAUUUUCAAAAGCAGACCCCAAAAUGUUCGUCGUGUAUCUUUAUAUGAAUUUUCUGAAAGUUGAAUUUUGAGGAUUGAACUCUUACUUUUUGUUUAGAUUUUUGAAUGCCAACCAAUAAGAUAUGCCAGUUUCCUCCACCAAUAAAAUCUGGUCACCAUAAUGUAGCGGAGGUUGCUGAAAGUGGUGUUAAACACCAACAAAGUUACAAACUGAAAUUUUAAGUGUCCAAAUUGAAAUGAAUUGAAAUGAAUGAACUUGUGAAACAAGAAAGCAAAAUUAAGCAGCUUCUAUCAUAAUUUUAUAAUGUGAAUGAUAAGAUGGUUUGAAUAUUUUUUAUUUUGUUUCACUGCUUUUUGUUGUCAGAUGCCAGCAUUGAAGAUUCAAAUUGAGAUGAAAAUUCAGAACCUGCUGCAAUUGUAUCUAUGACAAUAUCUUCGAAACCAUCCUAUCCUUCAGUAUGAGUAAUAAGAUACUACAAAUAUUAAAUCCAUUCUUAAACUGGAGAACUUUAGAAAGAAAAUAAUAAAAUAGUGCACGUCAGCAGAUACUGAGGAAUAUAAUGAAAGUGUUGAGAAAAGGCCAAUACUCUUUUUACUGUAAAUUCAGAAAUUAAUCUGCAUUUAUUAUUGUGAAUCCUUGACCUCUGGCAAAAGCGUGAGCAAAAGCGUGAAAUUUAAUUACUACGAUUGCAAAGAUUUUAUGAAGGAAAAUUACUACUAAAAUUAUGAAUGCGACUGUUUAUUAUUACUGUCGCAUUUUUCGCAUUAAUAAAAACAUCACAAUAAUUUCUGAUUUUACAGUAAUUAUUAUUGGAGUAAUAGAUUAUGAGCCAACAGAUAAUAUUGCUCUAUUUCAUACAUUUCGUAAUGAAGAAAUUUUACUUUAAAGUUAUCUCCCUUCCUUAGAAAAAAUUUAGUACUCGUUCACUGCAAUGCAGAGUGCUCAAUUAUUACAAUUAGAUAUGUAAAUUGAACUACUACAAUGUACCCAAUCAAAUUUAGUAAGAAAAGGAUAGAAGUGCAAAAAGAUUAAGAAUCUUUGCAAAAUAACAAAACUUGGGGUUUAGAUAGAAGAAAUAAAAGGCAAUUAUAUUUUUCUAGGUGAUAAGUUUUUUGCACAUAUUUAGAAGUGAAGUUUAUUUAAAUCACUCUAGGAAAUCAGUCAAAAACACCUCAAAUAAACAAAUUCAGUAUGUUUUUACCUUUUUAUUGUAGCUUGUACAAUAUUUUUGUUUGUUUAAGAUUUCUUUUAUAUUGUUUGAAAUGCUGUUUUUAAAAGAACAAG